This is a long non-coding RNA of Triticum dicoccoides, 2143 nucleotides long. RefSeq lists it as uncharacterized. The transcript has 2 exons. NCBI's taxonomy places the organism in Eukaryota, Viridiplantae, Streptophyta, Magnoliopsida, Poales, Poaceae. The record is from RefSeq and is a predicted model, not a curated record.
ACAACAACAACAACAACAACAAAAACAACAACAACAACAACAAAAGCCUAUCCUAAACUGAGCAGCAAGGACGUGUCUCAACCAAUGCUGCCGCCUCCAAGAAGAACAUCUUCAUCUUGACUUUCCUUGUUGACGCGCCAUCCUAAAGGAGGUGGAUGGCGUAAUUUCGUCCGUCCCGAGAAAGGCAUCGUCUUGGACACGCUAGCCAUGGUGUGCAUAUCGCCCCUGCAGAACAAUCUUGGAUAGCAGCGAGCGCCGGAGGAAAGCAACUUAGGACCUCCAAGCCGUGUCUCCAAACAUGAUACUCUCAACAGAGGGACAAUGUCAAGGACGCCGCUAUCGCGCCGAUCCAACUCCAAACCUAGGCUUUUACCUGGAGACAUCAACCAAACCGGAAUGAAGCGAGUACGGUGUUAACACACCUCAGCGACGCCUCCAAGGAGGGGAACAACACCCACGGACGCCGUCGUCACCGGCUCUGACCGAAGACGGGCAAAGACUUUCGUCUGUGUCGCACACCAUCCUCCUCGCCCAUCGAAAUGGGACCACUGUCCAUGUUGUUCACACCGCCGCCGCCACUCCCCCCUCCAAGCUCCGGAUCCUCCGCCAGCCAGCACGCUGCUCCACCACGACCCUCCUCUCACCGCCCGCCGCCUCUCAGCACUGUCACCGCACGCCGCCCAAUGAAGCCUCCUCUACGCAAAGUCAGCGCCACCGGGUGCGCUCUCCUCCCCGCCGCCUUUGGCGGCCAGGGGGCCGCCACCACCACCAGGGCCGGCGGUGUCAACGGCAGCGGCGGGUGGAUCUGGGGUAGGGUUUGCUAGCUAGGGUUUUGUCCCCCCGGGGUCGCCCGCGCGUGCGACCUGGGAGGGGUAGCAACAUGAUGGGAAAGAGGCAACUGCCACAGGGACAUGUUUAUCAUUUUCUUUGUUUUGCCAAGGUCUUCUCUGUAAAGGGAGACAUCUAUAUUUGUUUCUGAAUGAUAUGCUUUAAUCACAUGCCUUCUUCUCUUCUUUAGGAAAAUCAGAGGUCCAUCAGUUUAUGUAUAUAGUGGGUGAUAUUUUUGGUAACUUAACUUGAGCAACCUAAUUUUGAAACAUAAUUUGAGAGACAUAAAUACAAACGAUGUUAAGAUCAAGGGCUUACCUGUGAGUUCAGAACCAGCAAUCAGUUGAUUGUUAAUAGUCAAUAUGUAAUGUUUUUCUUUUCCUUCCUUGUGAAGGUAUGCGAUGAUCGGCAUUCUGAGCUAAUCCCCUGCUUGGAUAGGAAUUUGAUUAUCAGAUAAGGUUGAAGAUGGAUUUAAAACUGAUGGAGCAUCAUGAGCAUCAUUGCCCUACUUAUGAGAGACGCUUUAAUUGCCUGAUUCCACCGCCACAAGGCUAUAAGACGGCAUGGACCGAGACCAAGUUUUUUUCUUGAUUUUCAUAAGGCAAGGACCAGGACCAAAGCAAACUUCCUGAAUCUAAAAGGAACUAUAACCCGAGAAGACUAUAUAACAAUAAUGUGCUUGUACAAAUUAUAAAAUAGAUCGAGGGUUUCUGCUUACACCACGCUUGCCAUUAAACUCCAAGAUAGUUUUUUAGUAGAGAGUAAAGAUCAUUUGUGUAUUAAUCUUGGUACCCUUUCAGUUUUGUAGAUCUCAUGCAUGAAUGAAUGGAGGGGGGCGGCGCAUAAGGUCUGCCAGGAGGCGUUAAUGGAUAGCACAUCAUUGGCUGUGUGUUCAAGCGAGACGUAUGAAUUGUGUAUAAAUUUCAUAUAAUACCUAUCUCCGACUGUGACUUGGAUGGUCCGCAAUGAUCUCGUUGGCGUCUCUUCAAGGGUCAAUGAAUCUUGGCCAUCGAGAUUGUCGGCGGCAAAGGGAUCGGCAGGGGCGUGGUUUUCGUCCUGCUCCUCUUAUCGAGUCGAUCUGUCGAGGCAGCGCUGGGAUUGGCGGCGGAGGCGGCUAUGCGAGUGCGAGGGCGGCGGCGAAGGGACUGCGGCGGCGGCGAGGGCGGCUUGAUGCGUUGUGGUUCUCGCUCGAGGGAUCUGCUGAUGCGAGUGCGUUCAAGUAGUGGAUUUUUGUUUUUUUGCUGGUUUUUGUGGGAGCGGACUACCUGAGGCAUCGUUCCCUCGUUCGAUGUUGUGGCAUUCGUUGGUUUUUUUU